This is a long non-coding RNA of Oncorhynchus tshawytscha (Chinook salmon), 1176 nucleotides long. The record is from Ensembl. NCBI's taxonomy places the organism in Eukaryota, Metazoa, Chordata, Actinopteri, Salmoniformes, Salmonidae.
GUCCUCAAUCAGCUGUCUGAAUGACCCUAAAGGCACCAGAACAUCACAUUCAUCAGUAAUAAGGUCCUCAAUCAGCUGUCUGAAUGACCCAAGAGGCACCAGAACAUCACAUUCAUCAGUAAUACGGUCCUCAAUCAGCUGUCUGAAUGACCCAAGAGGCACCAGAACAUCACAUUCAUCAGUAAUAAGGUCCUCAAUCAGCUGUCUGAAUGACCCUAGAGGCACCAGAACAUCACAUUCAUCAGUAAUAAGGUCCUCAAUCAGCUUUCUGAAUGACCCAAGAGGCACCAGAACAUCACAUUCAUCAGUGAUAAGGUCCUCAAUCAGCUGUCUGAAUGACCCAAGAGGCACCAGAACAUCACAUUCAUCAGUGAUAAGGUCCUCAAUCAGCUUUCUGAAUUACCAUGGAGGCACCAGAACAUCACAUUCAUCAGUGAUAAGGUCCUCAAUCAGCUGCCUGAAUUACCAUGGAGGCACCAGAACAUCACAUUCAUCAGUAAUAAGGUCCUCAAUCAGCUUUCUGAAUGACCCAAGAGGCACCAGAACAUCACAUUCAUCAGUGAUAAGGUCCUCAAUCAGCUGCCUGAAUUGCCAUAGAGGCACCAGAACAUCACAUUCAUCAGUAAUAAGGUCCUCAAUCAGCUUUCUGAAUGACCCAAGAGGCACCAGAACAUCACAUUCAUCAGUGAUAAGGUCCUCAAUCAGCUGCCUGAAUUGCCAUAGAGGCACCAGAACAUCACAUUCAUCAGUAAUAAGGUCCUCAAUCAGCUUUCUGAAUGACCCAAGAGGCACCAGAACAUCACAUUCAUCAGUGAUAAGGUCCUCAAUCAGCUGUCUGAAUGACCCAAGAGGCACCAGAACAUCACAUUCAUCAGUAAUAAGGUCCUCAAUCAGCUGUCUGAAUUACCCAAGAGACACCAGAACAUCACAUUCAUCAGUAAUAAGGUCCUCAAUCAGCUGUCUGAAUGACCCUAAAGGCACCAGAACAUCACAUUCAUCAGUAAUAAGGUCCUCAAUCAGCUGUCUGAAUGACCCAAGAGGCACCAGAACAUCACAUUCAUCAGUAAUAAGGUCCUCAAUCAGCUGUCUGAAUUACCAUGGAGACACCAGAACAUCACAUUCAUCAGUAAUAAGGUCCUCAAUCAGCUGUCUGAAUUACCAUGGAGGCACCAGAAC